GACGAACGCUGGCGGCGUGCUUAACACAUGCAAGUCGAACGGAAAGGCCCUGCUUUUGUGGGGUGCUCGAGUGGCGAACGGGUGAGUAACACGUGAGUAACCUGCCCUUGACUUUGGGAUAACUUCAGGAAACUGGGGCUAAUACCGGAUAGGAGCUCCUGCUGCAUGGUGGGGGUUGGAAAGUUUCGGCGGUUGGGGAUGGACUCGCGGCUUAUCAGCUUGUUGGUGGGGUAGUGGCUUACCAAGGCUUUGACGGGUAGCCGGCCUGAGAGGGUGACCGGCCACAUUGGGACUGAGACACGGCCCAGACUCCUACGGGAGGCAGCAGUGGGGAAUAUUGCACAAUGGGCGGAAGCCUGAUGCAGCAACGCCGCGUGCGGGAUGACGGCCUUCGGGUUGUAAACCUCUUUCAGUUGGGAAGAAGCGAAAGUGACGGUAAUUGGAAAAGAAGCACCGGCUAACUACGUG
Molecule: ribosomal RNA, 468 nt
Filed under: uncultured bacterium
Lineage: Bacteria
Description: partial 16S ribosomal RNA
Rfam family: Bacterial small subunit ribosomal RNA
Source: RNAcentral